GAGAAUAAAUAUAUUAUAUAUGCAAAAUAUACACCUAUUUGAGUGUAAUAUAAAAUUGUUUUCAUGGUUAUUAUAUUAUAAUAUAAAUAUAUCUUGCGGAUAUUCAGUUAUUCUACCACCGGCAGCUUUGAUAAGUUCCUUUAAAACCUGAGCAGAAGGUGUAGUACCAUUUUCAACGUGUAAGAAACCAGAAGUAGCAAACAAAUCUGGUACAUAAGCCAUUCCAAAUAAUUCUCGAUCUUUGCGAUUUUCCUAUAAUAAAAUAAAAAUAUAAUAA
This 277-nucleotide long non-coding RNA is filed under the name Polistes fuscatus (common paper wasp). RNAcentral describes it as "uncharacterized LOC122524766". The record is from RNAcentral. Lineage: Eukaryota; Metazoa; Arthropoda; Insecta; Hymenoptera; Vespidae.